This 305-nucleotide ribosomal RNA is filed under the name uncultured bacterium. RNAcentral's name for it is "bacterial SSU rRNA". It matches the Rfam family "Bacterial small subunit ribosomal RNA", at positions 334 to 638 of the family's 1533-position model. The record is from RNAcentral.
UAUGUCUACGGGGGGCAGCAGCGAGGAAUAUUGGUCAAUGGGCGGGAGCCUGAACCAGCCAUGCCGCGUGAAGGCGAGUGCCCUACGGGCGUUAAACUUCUUUUGUGCGGGAGCAAUAAGGGCCACGUGUGGCCCGAUGAGAGUACCGCACGAAUAAGCAUCGGCUAACUCCGUGCCAGCAGCCGCGGUAAUACGGGGGAUGCGAGCGUUAUCCGGAUUUAUUGGGUUUAAAGGGUGCGUAGGCGGACUGUUAAGUCAGCGGUAAAAGCCCGGGGCUCAACCCCGGCGAGCCGUUGAAACUGGCU